This 291-nucleotide ribosomal RNA is filed under the name uncultured Cyanobium sp. RNAcentral's name for it is "partial 16S ribosomal RNA". It matches the Rfam family "Bacterial small subunit ribosomal RNA", at positions 505 to 795 of the family's 1533-position model. The record is from RNAcentral. Lineage: Bacteria; Bacillati; Cyanobacteriota; Cyanophyceae; Synechococcales; Prochlorococcaceae.
GUGGCAGCAGCCGCGGUAAUACGGGAGUGGCAAGCGUUAUCCGGAAUUAUUGGGCGUAAAGCGUCCGCAGGCGGCCUGUUAAGUCUGUCGUUAAAGCGUGGAGCUUAACUCCAUUUAAGCGAUGGAAACUAACAGGCUUGAGUGUGGUAGGGGCAGAGGGAAUUCCCGGUGUAGCGGUGAAAUGCGUAGAUAUCGGGAAGAACACCAGUGGCGAAGGCGCUCUGCUGGGCCAUAACUGACGCUCAUGGACGAAAGCCAGGGGAGCGAAAGGGAUUAGAUACCCUAGUAGUC